RNAcentral lists this ribosomal RNA (2901 nucleotides) under Escherichia coli. RNAcentral describes it as "bacterial LSU rRNA". It matches the Rfam family "Bacterial large subunit ribosomal RNA". Lineage: Bacteria; Pseudomonadati; Pseudomonadota; Gammaproteobacteria; Enterobacterales; Enterobacteriaceae. The record is from RNAcentral.
UUAAGCGACUAAGCGUACACGGUGGAUGCCCUGGCAGUCAGAGGCGAUGAAGGACGUGCUAAUCUGCGAUAAGCGUCGGUAAGGUGAUAUGAACCGUUAUAACCGGCGAUUUCCGAAUGGGGAAACCCAGUGUGUUUCGACACACUAUCAUUAACUGAAUCCAUAGGUUAAUGAGGCGAACCGGGGGAACUGAAACAUCUAAGUACCCCGAGGAAAAGAAAUCAACCGAGAUUCCCCCAGUAGCGGCGAGCGAACGGGGAGCAGCCCAGAGCCUGAAUCAGUGUGUGUGUUAGUGGAAGCGUCUGGAAAGGCGCGCGAUACAGGGUGACAGCCCCGUACACAAAAAUGCACAUGCUGUGAGCUCGAUGAGUAGGGCGGGACACGUGGUAUCCUGUCUGAAUAUGGGGGGACCAUCCUCCAAGGCUAAAUACUCCUGACUGACCGAUAGUGAACCAGUACCGUGAGGGAAAGGCGAAAAGAACCCCGGCGAGGGGAGUGAAAAAGAACCUGAAACCGUGUACGUACAAGCAGUGGGAGCACGCUUAGGCGUGUGACUGCGUACCUUUUGUAUAAUGGGUCAGCGACUUAUAUUCUGUAGCAAGGUUAACCGAAUAGGGGAGCCGAAGGGAAACCGAGUCUUAACUGGGCGUUAAGUUGCAGGGUAUAGACCCGAAACCCGGUGAUCUAGCCAUGGGCAGGUUGAAGGUUGGGUAACACUAACUGGAGGACCGAACCGACUAAUGUUGAAAAAUUAGCGGAUGACUUGUGGCUGGGGGUGAAAGGCCAAUCAAACCGGGAGAUAGCUGGUUCUCCCCGAAAGCUAUUUAGGUAACGCCUCGUGAAUUCAUCUCCGGGGGUAGAGCACUGUUUCGGCAAGGGGGUCAUCCCGACUUACCAACCCGAUGCAAACUGCGAAUACCGGAGAAUGUUAUCACGGGAGACACACGGCGGGUGCUAACGUCCGUCGUGAAGAGGGAAACAACCCAGACCGCCAGCUAAGGUCCCAAAGUCAUGGUUAAGUGGGAAACGAUGUGGGAAGGCCCAGACAGCCAGGAUGUUGGCUUAGAAGCAGCCAUCAUUUAAAGAAAGCGUAAUAGCUCACUGGUCGAGUCGGCCUGCGCGGAAGAUGUAACGGGGCUAAACCAUGCACCGAAGCUGCGGCAGCGACACUAUGUGUUGUUGGGUAGGGGAGCGUUCUGUAAGCCUGUGAAGGUGUACUGUGAGGUAUGCUGGAGGUAUCAGAAGUGCGAAUGCUGACAUAAGUAACGAUAAAGCGGGUGAAAAGCCCGCUCGCCGGAAGACCAAGGGUUCCUGUCCAACGUUAAUCGGGGCAGGGUGAGUCGACCCCUAAGGCGAGGCCGAAAGGCGUAGUCGAUGGGAAACAGGUUAAUAUUCCUGUACUUGGUGUUACUGCGAAGGGGGGACGGAGAAGGCUAUGUUGGCCGGGCGACGGUUGUCCCGGUUUAAGCGUGUAGGCUGGUUUUCCAGGCAAAUCCGGAAAAUCAAGGCUGAGGCGUGAUGACGAGGCACUACGGUGCUGAAGCAACAAAUGCCCUGCUUCCAGGAAAAGCCUCUAAGCAUCAGGUAACAUCAAAUCGUACCCCAAACCGACACAGGUGGUCAGGUAGAGAAUACCAAGGCGCUUGAGAGAACUCGGGUGAAGGAACUAGGCAAAAUGGUGCCGUAACUUCGGGAGAAGGCACGCUGAUAUGUAGGUGAAGUCCCUCGCGGAUGGAGCUGAAAUCAGUCGAAGAUACCAGCUGGCUGCAACUGUUUAUUAAAAACACAGCACUGUGCAAACACGAAAGUGGACGUAUACGGUGUGACGCCUGCCCGGUGCCGGAAGGUUAAUUGAUGGGGUCAGCGCAAGCGAAGCUCUUGAUCGAAGCCCCGGUAAACGGCGGCCGUAACUAUAACGGUCCUAAGGUAGCGAAAUUCCUUGUCGGGUAAGUUCCGACCUGCACGAAUGGCGUAAUGAUGGCCAGGCUGUCUCCACCCGAGACUCAGUGAAAUUGAACUCGCUGUGAAGAUGCAGUGUACCCGCGGCAAGACGGAAAGACCCCGUGAACCUUUACUAUAGCUUGACACUGAACAUUGAGCCUUGAUGUGUAGGAUAGGUGGGAGGCUUUGAAGUGUGGACGCCAGUCUGCAUGGAGCCGACCUUGAAAUACCACCCUUUAAUGUUUGAUGUUCUAACGUGGACCCGUAAUCCGGGUUGCGGACAGUGUCUGGUGGGUAGUUUGACUGGGGCGGUCUCCUCCUAAAGAGUAACGGAGGAGCACGAAGGUUGGCUAAUCCUGGUCGGACAUCAGGAGGUUAGUGCAAUGGCAUAAGCCAGCUUGACUGCGAGCGUGACGGCGCGAGCAGGUGCGAAAGCAGGUCAUAGUGAUCCGGUGGUUCUGAAUGGAAGGGCCAUCGCUCAACGGAUAAAAGGUACUCCGGGGAUAACAGGCUGAUACCGCCCAAGAGUUCAUAUCGACGGCGGUGUUUGGCACCUCGAUGUCGGCUCAUCACAUCCUGGGGCUGAAGUAGGUCCCAAGGGUAUGGCUGUUCGCCAUUUAAAGUGGUACGCGAGCUGGGUUUAGAACGUCGUGAGACAGUUCGGUCCCUAUCUGCCGUGGGCGCUGGAGAAUUGAGGGGGGCUGCUCCUAGUACGAGAGGACCGGAGUGGACGCAUCACUGGUGUUCGGGUUGUCAUGCCAAUGGCACUGCCCGGUAGCUAAAUGCGGAAGAGAUAAGUGCUGAAAGCAUCUAAGCACGAAACUUGCCCCGAGAUGAGUUCUCCCUGACUCCUUGAGAGUCCUGAAGGAACGUUGAAGACGACGACGUUGAUAGGCCGGGUGUGUAAGCGCAGCGAUGCGUUGAGCUAACCGGUACUAAUGAACCGUGAGGCUUAACCUU